Molecule: long non-coding RNA, 417 nt
Filed under: Ananas comosus (pineapple)
Lineage: Eukaryota; Viridiplantae; Streptophyta; Magnoliopsida; Poales; Bromeliaceae
Description: long non-coding RNA (ACOM_LNC043835)
Source: RNAcentral
UGGGAUUGUCGGUUAGUUGCCGACGGAUGAUUAUAGUUUACUUAUAUCCAUCGUUUAACAUGUCUGUGACCUAGUCGGUCAGUGCAUUGUAUAUGUUUUCAUGACCUGAUUGGUCGGUCGUUGUAUCUCGUAUCGGUUCCUUGACUUCUGUCGUUGAUGACCUGUGAGGUCGGUGUACCCUGAGGGGUAGGAUUGUCAGCUAGUGGCUGACGGUAGUUCCAGAUUAUAAUGAUAUAUUCCGGUGACUUAUUGGUUGAUUCUUGCAUCUAUACUUUAGUUGACCCAUCGAGCAGUAUUUCCAUACCUUUGAGAGGAUGUUGAGUCGUUCCAUCCUAGUUGACCUGAGUGGUCGGUUCUUGUACUUCCUUAUUGUGACACACUGGACCUUUGCAAAUUGCGAGGUUCGAGUGAUUGGAU